CUACGGGUCGCAGCAGUGGGGGAUAUUGCACAAUGGGGGAAACCCUGAUGCAGCAACGCCGCGUGAAGGAAGACGGAUUUCGGUCUGUAAACUCCUAUCAGCUGGGAAGAAAAUGACGGUACCAGACUAAGAAGCCCCGGCUAACUACGUGCCAGCAGCCGCGGUAAUACGUAGGGGGCAAGCGUUAUCCGGAUUUACUGGGUGUAAAGGGUACGUAGGCGGUUAUUUAAGUCAGAUGUGAAAGCCCGGAGCUCAACUCCGGGACUGCAUUUGAAACUGGGUAACUAGAGUACAGGAGAGGAAAGCGGAAUUCCUAGUGUAGCGGUGAAAUGCGUAGAUAUUAGGAAGAACACCAGUGGCGAAGGCGGCUUUCUGGACUGUAACUGACGCUGAGGUACGAAAGCGUGGGGAGCGAACAGGAUUAGAUACCCGCGUAGUC
RNAcentral lists this ribosomal RNA (439 nucleotides) under uncultured bacterium. Its description in RNAcentral is "partial 16S ribosomal RNA". It matches the Rfam family "Bacterial small subunit ribosomal RNA", at positions 339 to 795 of the family's 1533-position model. The record is from RNAcentral.